This 301-nucleotide ribosomal RNA is filed under the name uncultured bacterium. RNAcentral's name for it is "partial 16S ribosomal RNA". It matches the Rfam family "Bacterial small subunit ribosomal RNA", at positions 509 to 808 of the family's 1533-position model. The record is from RNAcentral.
CAGCAGCCGCGGGAAUACGUAGGGUCCGAGCGUUGUCCGGAAUUAUUGGGCGUAAAGGGCUCGUAGGCGGUUUGUUGCGUCGGGAGUGAAAUUCCAGGGCUUAACUCUGGGCUUGCUUUCGAUACGGGCAGACUUGAGGCAUUCAGGGGAGAACGGAAUUCCUGGUGUAGCGGUGAAAUGCGCAGAUAUCAGGAGGAACACCGGUGGCGAAGGCGGUUCUCUGGGAAUGUUCUGACGCUGAGGAGCGAAAGUGUGGGGAGCGAACAGGAUUAGAUACCCCCGUAGUCCCUGUCUCUAUACA